AUUGAACGCUGGCGGCAGGACUAACACAUGCAAGUCGAGCGAUCGGCGGAGUGGUGAGUAAUGUAUGAAGACUUCCCGAUCGAGGGGGAUAACUACUGGAAACGGUGGCUAAUAACGCAUACUAUCUGAUGACCCAUAUGGGAUUAGCUAGUAGGUGGGUUAAAGGCUCACCUAGGGGACGAGCUCUAUCUGGUCUGAGAGGAAGAUCGUCCACAGUGGGACUGGGACCCGGCCCAGACUCCUACGGAGGCAGCAGUGGGUAAUAUUGCACCAUGUGCGCAAGCCUGAUGCAGCCCUGCCGCGUGUCUGAAGAAGGCCUUAGGGUUGUAAAGUACUGUCGGCGGGGAGGCGUUACCCGCAGAAGAAGCACCGGCUAACUCCGGGCCAGCAGCCGCGGUAAUUC
RNAcentral lists this ribosomal RNA (403 nucleotides) under uncultured bacterium. RNAcentral's name for it is "partial 16S ribosomal RNA". It matches the Rfam family "Bacterial small subunit ribosomal RNA", at positions 30 to 526 of the family's 1533-position model. The record is from RNAcentral.